This 120-nucleotide ribosomal RNA is filed under the name uncultured bacterium. RNAcentral describes it as "partial 16S ribosomal RNA". It matches the Rfam family "Bacterial small subunit ribosomal RNA", at positions 215 to 334 of the family's 1533-position model. The record is from RNAcentral.
GCGGUGAAGGAUGAGCUCGCGGCCUAUCAGCUUGUUGGUGGGGUAACGGCCCACCAAGGCAACGACGGGUAGCCGGCCUGAGAGGGUGACCGGCCACACUGGGACUGAGACACGGCCCAG